AGCUGGCCUGAUAUUGUUCUUUGAUGCUGUGAAUGUGUAUGGAAUGCCUACUGUCUGGUGUCACUUCAGACAAUUUUGCUACGGUUUACUGUAUGUUCUGUCUAUCUGUCUGCCAAACUCUCAAACUUGUUGUCUGUCUUUUUGUCUUCCUCUUUGGGCACCGGCAGGCACAGUCAUUCCGGUAGUCCGUUCCUCGAUGGACGUGAUGACCUGGCACCAAAACCGCUUAAUGUGUACGGAGCUGUGUCUGCAUCGAGGGAAGAACGCGGCACUGAAAUGACACAAAUGAAAGAAGAUUACUUCUGCUCUGCUGGGUCUGUGACACUAUUUAUCCGAGGAGUCCUCAAACAUCAGGAUGUAGGAAGACACAAGUAAAAGGAGAAGAAUGCUGCUCAGCUGGGUCGGCGGCCACACUACUUAUUCAAGAAGCUCUUGGAUAUCAUCAGCAUGUAUGAAGUACGUUUUUUUUAUAUCAAUGCACAACAGCAGGCGUUAAUGCACACACACACUCACACACACACACAAUGAGGCCUGAUAUUGUUCUUUGGUUCUGUGAAUGUGUAUGGAAUGCCUACUGUGUGGUGUCACUUCAGACAAUUUUGCUACAGUUUACUGUAUGUUCUGUCUAUUAGUUUGCCAAACUCUCAAACUUGUUGUCUUUCUUUUUGUCUUCCUCUUUGGGCACCGGUAGGCACAGUCAUUCCGGUGCAGUCAAGUCAGAAAUAACAUUUUAUAUACCUGUGUGUGUG
This is a long non-coding RNA of Engraulis encrasicolus (European anchovy), 749 nucleotides long. RefSeq lists it as uncharacterized. The record is from RefSeq and is a predicted model, not a curated record. The transcript is spliced from 3 exons. Lineage: Eukaryota; Metazoa; Chordata; Actinopteri; Clupeiformes; Engraulidae.